Astyanax mexicanus (Mexican tetra) is the source of this 53-nucleotide regulatory RNA element. It matches the Rfam family "UnaL2 LINE 3' element". From Rfam's summary of the family: The eel long interspersed element (LINE) UnaL2 and its partner short interspersed element (SINE) share a conserved 3' tail containing a stem-loop that is critical for their retrotransposition. The record is from Rfam. NCBI's taxonomy places the organism in Eukaryota, Metazoa, Chordata, Actinopteri, Characiformes, Acestrorhamphidae.
UACUUGAAUAUUGUAAGUCGCUUUGGAAAAAAGCGUCUGCUAAAUGUAAUGUA